RNAcentral lists this ribosomal RNA (739 nucleotides) under Pseudotomentella sp. 241 VM-2015. Its description in RNAcentral is "eukaryotic LSU rRNA". The stretch from base 268 to 421 matches the Rfam family "5.8S ribosomal RNA". The record is from RNAcentral. Lineage: Eukaryota; Fungi; Basidiomycota; Agaricomycetes; Thelephorales; Thelephoraceae.
UAGAGGAAGUAAAAGUCGUAACAAGGUUUCCGUAGGUGAACCUGCGGAAGGAUCAUUAAUGAAAUGAAUGUCGAGAGGGGUUGUAGCUGGCCUUUUGGGGCAUGUGCACACCUUGAUCGCACAUCCACCUCUCACACCUGUGCACUAUGUGUAGCUUGGGAUGAUUACAAUGUUGGAAACAAUGUUGAAAGCCCUAGCUAUGAAUUUUUAUACACCCAUAUAUAUAAAGUUAUAGAAUGGAUAGCGUAUAAUAGCGCAAAUAUAUACAACUUUCAGCAACGGAUCUCUUGGNUCUCGCAUCGAUGAAGAACGCAGCGAAAUGCGAUAAGUAAUGUGAAUUGCAGAAUUCAGUGAAUCAUCNAAUCUUUGAACGCACCUUGCGCUCCUUGGUAUUCCGAGGAGCAUGCCUGUUUGAGUGUCAUGAAAUUCUCAACUGCCCUUUUAGCAUUUAUGUUAAGGGUGAAGUUGGAGUUGGAGGAUAAUUGCUGGCGCAACUAAGGUUGCUUGUUGGCUCCUCUUGAAUGGAUGAGCUUUUCUGAUAGAUCAUAGCUCAGUAACACUAAUGUGAUAAUUAUCUACGUUAGAUGUGAAAGCUGUGAGUAGAGUGACUUCAAAUAUGAAGAUGCUCCUACAGAAAAGGUAUGUCUUGGGGGAAAACAAACCCCUGACUUUCAAAUACAAUGACAAAUCUGACCUCAAAUCAGGUAGGACUACCCGCUGAACUUAAGCAUAUCAAUAA